CCUAGUCAUACAAUUAGGUGGUUUCCUUUUCUUUCUCCUCCACAUAUCUUUGUGGUUCACUUAUGUAAACCAUGUGCCCCUAAUCAAUCCAAAGGUUCAACUUUUUCAAUAUUCCGACCAUGGAUUGGAUUUGAAGCUCGUAUAUUGUUUGAGAAUCUUGGGGCGAAGUUUACUUUCCAGUUUCAUCACAGGAAGAUGUAUUAACUCGGCUCAAUGAAAAUUGAAUGACGGACUUGGGGAACUCACAGAAUUGGGUAAUACCUCCGACCCGUUAUUCCGUCUUCUUCACCCGCGACCAACCCAAUGGUGGUCCGAAAUCUUACCUUUCUGUAUUCUGUUUGUUUACUCUGUUUUUAUUUCUUUCUUUUUUUAAUAUUUGAAAUCCUUUACCCGAUUCUCUGCAACUGCAAUUCUACAAGUCGGGUGAUUAGUUAUACAAUCGUUCGAAUUUGAUU
Molecule: long non-coding RNA, 455 nt
Organism: Papaver somniferum (opium poppy)
Lineage: Eukaryota; Viridiplantae; Streptophyta; Magnoliopsida; Ranunculales; Papaveraceae
Exons: 2
Source: RefSeq, a predicted model, not a curated record